RNAcentral lists this ribosomal RNA (566 nucleotides) under Metschnikowia gelsemii. Its description in RNAcentral is "partial large subunit ribosomal RNA". It matches the Rfam family "Eukaryotic large subunit ribosomal RNA", at positions 38 to 667 of the family's 3401-position model. The record is from RNAcentral. Lineage: Eukaryota; Fungi; Ascomycota; Pichiomycetes; Serinales; Metschnikowiaceae.
GCAUAUCAAUAAGCGGAGGAAAAGAAACACAAGUGGAUUGCCUUAGUACGGCGAGUGAGCGGCAAAAGCUCAAAUUUGAAAUCCUCAGGGAAUUGUAAUUUGAAGGUGGCUCUAACAAUUCUUAAAAACCCCUAAGUCCAUUGGAAAAUGGCGCCAUGGAGGGUGAUAGCCCCGUCUGGAUCAGUUUUUAAGAACCUUUUUAGAACCUCCAAAGAGUCGAGUUGUUUGGGAAUGCAGCUCUAAGUGGGUGGUAAAUUCCAUCUAAAGCUAAAUAUUGGCGAGAGACCGAUAGCGAACAAGUACAGUGAUGGAAAGAUGAAAAGCACUUUGAAAAGAGAGUGAAAAAGUACGUGAAAUUGUUGAAAGGGAAGGGCUUGCAAGCAGACACAACCUUCACGGUUGGGCCAGCAUCGGGGAGAAAGGAGGUAAAAAAAAGUCGAAGGAAUGUAGCUUUUUCUAAAGUGUUAUAUCCUUUCUCUUACACCCCCAUUUCUUCCCGAGGCCUGCGUUUUAUUUCUAGGAUGCUGGCGUAAUGGUUGCAAGUCGCCCGUCUUGAAACACGGACC